Dreissena polymorpha is the source of this 1295-nucleotide long non-coding RNA. RefSeq lists it as uncharacterized. Lineage: Eukaryota; Metazoa; Mollusca; Bivalvia; Myida; Dreissenidae. The record is from RefSeq and is a predicted model, not a curated record. The transcript has 4 exons.
CUUGAUAAUGGCGGUCGGCUUCAGUGCAAUAUGUAUUUACAUGUAAGAUUGCUACUUUCGUUCUUACCGUUGGUCAAUGUGGCUGCGCAAACAGUGACCCUUUAUGCAGACACGUCACAUUUGUCAGCUGGGCACUCACCACAUCUGACCUGUAACCAUAACUACAACCCACUCGUCUCGUGGUGGCUAAAUGGAGUAAUAGUUCUGAGAUCGCAAGUAAACGGAGAAAAAUGCAUGAAUAGCCCAGCGCAUCCGGUAUAUCUGGCCGACUGUACGUGUGCAAACUCAGUGCACACAUGUACACUUAACGACUUGUCCUGGUCUAACGUUGGUGACCGAUGGGCGUGCUCUAUUUUAAUAGUACAAAGUCAUAUUCUGACAUUAACAUUGCCAUAAUUUAAGAGGAAAAAGCAGUGAUUGCUGGUUCAGUUGGUGGCGCUGUUGGUGGACUUAUAAUCAUCGCUGUUAUGGUCAUCAUAUUAAAACGUAGAAUAAAAGAUAUUCGAAGCGGCAGUGAUGACCAUGCUCUUGCCAGUGAUUUCUGUGAUUCCAAAAGAAAAGCCCAUAUCAUAAAUUGAAAUGACAGACAAACUAUAGAGUAUUAGUCGAUAGCAACUAUUUUACGUUAAGACCCAAUUAAUACACACAAAUCAACGAAAUUUUCGCAAAGUAUUUCGUUAAAUAAAAUUACACAAUCAAAUAUUAAUGUUCCUUAUAGCAAAAUCCAAAUUUUUUAUACCAGAUGUGUUCUGGUCACAUAAAUGUUUGUAGCUACAAAAUACUUGUUCUUAAUUUUUCGUGUCACAAUAACGCCCACGUUAAUUUCCCGCAAAUAUAUCUAUUCAUACGACACAUAAACACUAAAUACCAUUUAAGUGAACUUGUGUCGUAUGAAUAAAUAUAUUUGCGGGAAAUAAAAAUGAAAUUUAUUGUGUCACUAAACAAAUAAAAACGUGCAUUUUAUAUCUAUAAACAUCUAUAUUACCAGACCUCUUCUGGUGUUAAUUUUUCGGCUAUUGCUAUAUGGAAUACUAAUUUUUAAUUUAACUUAUUUACGAAAUAUUGUAUGCUAUUUUCAUUGAUUUGGAGUUGUAAUGGGGCUUUAAGCUUGUUAUACAAAUGAAGCAAAUAUGUGUACAGCAAAGCACUUGUGAAAAUAGAUGAAUUUAAGUUGAAUCCAUUAAAUACAUUUCCGUUGCCAUAACCUCCCAUGUCAGUGUGUCGCUACUGUGGUUUAUGCAAAAUCAAAACAUGUGUUAGGAGAUAUACGUUUUUGUGUAGUUAUUAUGCGAGUU